RNAcentral lists this ribosomal RNA (293 nucleotides) under Halticoperla viridens. Its description in RNAcentral is "partial 12S ribosomal RNA". Lineage: Eukaryota; Metazoa; Arthropoda; Insecta; Plecoptera; Notonemouridae. The record is from RNAcentral.
AGGAACCUGUCCCUUAAUCGAUAUUCCACGUGGGACCUUACUUGAAUUUGUUUCAGCUUGUAUACCGCCGUCGUCAGAAUGUCUUUUAAAAGAUAAAAUUUUCUUAAAUUUUUAUUAAAAUUGAUGUCAGGUCAAGGUGCAGUUUACGUUCAAGUGGAGAUGGGUUACAUUAAAUUUAUUUAAACGGAUUUUUUCAUGCAAUUGAAUUCUGAAGGUGGAUUUGAUAGUAAUUUAAUUAAUAAUGUUAAUUUGAUUGUGGCUCUAAAACAUGCACACAUCGCCCGUCGCUCUUA